GUCUAUCGCACCGUUUGCAGCCUCCAUGCCAGCGCUAAAACAUACAAUUUACCUUUUUUUACAAACUAAAACUAUUAUUUUUUCCUUUUUUUUUAAUUAUUAAAUGCACUAAGUACUUUCAGAAAUCCAAAUCGACAUUAAUCUAACCUAAAGGUAAUUAUUAAUUAAUAAUUUAUUUUAUUUUCAGGUUUGGCCAUUAAUUGGUGUACAAUUUGGUGUCCUCGUUGGAGUUACCUACAUAAUCUACCACAGAAUUUUUCUUACUACUAUUGACGUUCAGUUAAGUCAAAAAAUUAAUCAACGAUUUGAAGUAUCAUCUAAGCCAGGAUUCAUUGAUUUAAGAAAUCCUCGACUAUUAAAGCUGAUUGGCUGCAACACCCCAGAGCCGGCGAUUGAUCUUGAUAAUCGGUAUCGUUUGAUGCGUCACGAGCAGAUGCUGGAUGCACAAGGAAAUCCCACGGAUAAAUUUAUUAAAGAUUCACGAGUUUAUUCUUUUGAAGAAUACAUUGAAAUUCACAAUCUUAAUCAAUAAACAAUGUAUUGUUUUGUACCCAAUCAGAAUAAUAAACAUUAAAAGAAAAAUAAUAAUAAUAAUAAUAAGAAACUCUAGAAGAUUUAACGAACCAAGAAGAUAACACUCGUCCAACAAAGAGCUUCUUGUUUGAGGAAUAAUUUUAAGCACACUUGAGUCUAUCAAUCCGAUUAAAUCCCAACUUUUAGCUUGUAAAAAUCGGAUUUAAAUUAACAUUGAAAGAUUCAAUCAAUAUUUUGUUCCCUUAAAAUUUCUUAAUCCAGAAAAUAUUUUAAAAUAAAAUAAAUUAUUUGGUUUAAAAUUCUCUUUUGAGUCGGUAACUUAUUUAUCUUGGAGCUACAGAGGUAAUUAGUUUCAAGUGAUCGAGUUGUUAAGAUUGUAGGGAUGCCCGAUGUUAGUAAAAAACAUCCACGCCGAACUAUCGAUUGUGUUUAAUUUCUUGGGAUCGGAGCAUCGAUCAUUUAUUUAAAAACAUCCGACACAUUGAUUGUUAAUAUUGAUGGUAAGAAUAAGCGUUUAAAUUUCAAUAAAUUAUAGCUAACGAUCUAAAAAGAUAAAUCCAAAUUAGAGGUCUUAAUUUUGAAUUAUUAUUGUUUUAAAUAAAUUAUAUCUUGGACAUCGAAAUUUGUUUUUUUUGUCAAUAGAUAAAUUACUGUUAUUAAAAUAUUUAAGCAAAAUUUUUUAUUUCUAGAGUUAUUUAUUUGUCAAAAAAUUCACGCUCUUACUAUUUGGUAGUAGAAGAAAAGUUUUCAUUAAAUUAAUAACUAAAAUAAUAUAUCUGAUGUGAAUAGUUGCGUUGUGGUAUCACUUAUUCUCAACAGCGCAGUUCGAUCAGGGUUCGAGCCCAGUCUCGGGUUAAAGUUGCAUUAUUUUUUAUUUGUAAGAAAAUUAAUAUUCUCAAGCUAACAUUAAUAUCUAAAUUCUAUUUAUUCAAUAGCAUUAAUUAAAAUAAAGUUUUUGUCGUUAACAAAUUUUAAGGUAGUUUCUCGGUGAAACUUCUCGACAGAUUUUGUUAAUUUAUUUUUUCACAGUUUACGAAUAACGUUAAUAAGGUUUAUACUUCAAUCAAUAUUUUGUCUUUUAAAAUUUCUUAAUCUAGAAAAUUUUUUUAAAUUAAAUAAAUAGAAUUAAGAUAUAUAAUAUUAGCUUGAGAAUAUUAAUUUUCUUGAGAAUAAAAAAUAAUGCUAAUUUUACCCAAGAUUGGGCUCGAACCCUGAUCGGCCUGCGCUGUUAAGAAUGAGUGAUACCACUUCGCCACUGCUGAUGAUUCAUUGAGGUAGUUCCUCCUUAGAAUUAAGUUAAACUCGACUUAAAAAGGUUCUACUGUAUCACAGCCCGGCAAAAAUUCAAAUCGAAAAGACUAGACAGUCCUUCAGUCCGCCAUUUUGUUUCACUAGUCCGCCAUUUUGUUUUCCAUUAAGAGAUGCGGUAAACGUUGAAAAGGCCAUCAGGAAUUGUGUAGAGCAUGCAUUAGACUCUAGCACUUCUAACCAGCAAGAGAACAAAUUUAAAUGUUUAAUUAUUUAUUAUUAAUAAUAAUAUUUUGUUGCCUCCCUUGUAAAUAACAUAUCCAAGCUGAGAGUAAUCAAGAGGGAGUUUAGCUCUCACAUGGUUGUGUGUAUGAGUAACAAGAAGCAAGAACAAAAGUGUGAAUGUGUGUAAUCUAGAUAUGCUCUACAAAGCUUUUGGAGGUUAUGUAGGCAGAAAGCUCUUUAGUAAGUUGAUAAACUUGUUUUAUU
This 2271-nucleotide long non-coding RNA is filed under the name Cotesia glomerata. RNAcentral describes it as "uncharacterized LOC123263638". The record is from RNAcentral. Lineage: Eukaryota; Metazoa; Arthropoda; Insecta; Hymenoptera; Braconidae.